UGGGGAUGUAGCUCAGUGGUAGAGUGCUUGCCUAGCUUGUAAGAGUCCCUGGGUUCAACCCCCAAUCCUACAA
RNAcentral lists this transfer RNA (73 nucleotides) under Marmota monax (woodchuck). Its description in RNAcentral is "tRNA.Ala". It matches the Rfam family "tRNA". From Rfam's summary of the family: Transfer RNA (tRNA) molecules are approximately 80 nucleotides in length. Their secondary structure includes four short double-helical elements and three loops (D, anti-codon, and T loops). The record is from RNAcentral. Lineage: Eukaryota; Metazoa; Chordata; Mammalia; Rodentia; Sciuridae.